This 273-nucleotide long non-coding RNA is filed under the name Rattus norvegicus (Norway rat). RNAcentral describes it as "long non-coding RNA NONRATT022166". Lineage: Eukaryota; Metazoa; Chordata; Mammalia; Rodentia; Muridae. The record is from RNAcentral.
GGAAGACAGGGCCGCCACUGAUGGAAGUGGAGAGAGUGGUGUCAGCCCUGUUGACAAAGAUCUUCAGCCUCAGAAGGAGGAAGAGGAGGGGGAGAAGUCUGAUGCUGAAGAGCAAGUGCCAGAGGCCACAGAGAGAAAGGAGCAUGACUCCUGUGGGCAGACUGGAGUGGACAAUGUGCAGAGUGCACAGGCCGUGGAACUAGCUGGGGCUGCACCGGAAAAGGAGCAGGGGAAAGAGGAACAUGGUAGUGGAGCUGCAGAUGCAAACCAAGC